This 371-nucleotide ribosomal RNA is filed under the name uncultured organism. Its description in RNAcentral is "partial 16S ribosomal RNA". It matches the Rfam family "Bacterial small subunit ribosomal RNA", at positions 527 to 896 of the family's 1533-position model. The record is from RNAcentral.
AGAGGGUGCAAGCGUUAAUCGGAAUUACUGGGCGUAAAGGGCGCGUAGGUGGUUAAUUAAGUCAGAUGUGAAAGCCCUGGGCUUGACCUAGGACUUGCGUUUGAAACUGAUUGACUAGAGUUUGGGAGAGGGAAGUGGAAUUUCCGGUGUAGCGGUGAAAUGCGUAGAUAUCGGAAGGAACAUCAGUGGCGAAGGCGACUUCCUGGCCCGAUACUGACACUGAGGCGCGAAAGCGUGGGUAGCGAACAGGGAUUAGAUACCCUGGUAGUCCACGCAGUAAAUGAUGAGAAACUAGAUGUUAGGGUGCUUGUCACCUUAGUAUCGCAGCUAACGCGAUAAGUUCUCCGCCUGGGAGUACGGUCGCAAGAUUA